RNAcentral lists this long non-coding RNA (5894 nucleotides) under Mytilus galloprovincialis (Mediterranean mussel). Lineage: Eukaryota; Metazoa; Mollusca; Bivalvia; Mytilida; Mytilidae. The record is from RNAcentral.
GUUUGGAGGUAUAUUCCUACUGCUGUUGGGAUUAAUACAGUCUGUAUUCAUGAUAAUUACUUGAAAUUUUCUUUUAGUACAGGUACUCAUUAAUGAAAUUUUUUAAAUAUAUAGCUUUUGACUUUAAAAGUUCAAUUUUAGUAAAUGUUGAAGAAAGGCUGCUGUCUGUUCUUACUCAAUACUUUUAGGUAAGUUUAUAUCUGUUGUAAAUAAAAAUUGCAUGAUAUAAUGAUAUGUGAUGUUGGUAUAAACUAUUUAAAACUUAUCACAUUUCUGAUGUUGAAAGGGUGGCAGGGAGUUGCGUCCUUGCUUUGUAUCUAUUGCUUUCCCUUUUGACUUUUAGCAAAUAUCGUGAACAUAAUUAUGAAAAUUUAUAAAACUGAUGGAAGCUCUGAUAAAAUGCCAAACUAUGGAUUGUAGAAAAUCGUUAUGCUAUUCACAUAAAACAAACAUCGACCGUACAUGAAGGGUUUUCUUUGGUUUGGUGAUGGUAGUCCUUAUUUUUUGCUUAUUAAAUUAUAUCAUUAAAAAAAUUGCCAUGUGAAUUAAUCACAAACAGGAUUGCAUCAAGGCUAUGCCUUAAGAUUAAGAUCCAUUACUGAAAGUUGGAUUUCGUUUGACGCUCAUAGGAGGAUGGCAUAUUGAAACUGAUACUGAGGUGUCCACUUUUUCUGCAUCUAUUCCAAAGAAAUUGACUGAAUUAUAAACAAGUUCUUUGGGUCAUAUUGACAGAUAUUUUUAACAUACCACAAAUGUCAAUUGCUGACUUUAGUUAUUAUUAUAAGAGUUAUUACUUGCAUGACAUUGGAUUUAAAAUUAACAUACCAUUAAAAAACAUCAACUCUUACAUAAUAUGAAGAAAAUAUUAUGAUGUAUUGUGUAUGGGUAAGAAAAAGCUAGCUACUAAACAAAGAAAAGGAAAUGCAUUUUCCAUUACAACAAUCUAAACAAAUUUUGUUAUUUGCAAAGUAUUGCCUAUUUGUUAUAAAAGCAUAUACUUUUUUAAUAGGAAUUCAAAAGAGCAUAUACCCAAAUCCAUUUAAAUGGUAAUAUGGUUACCAUUAAUAUGGUUAAUAUGGUAUAUAUCCAGUUAAAGGGCCAUUAGCUGCUCUAUUUAUAUUCAUCUCUCAUUUAACUCUAAUUCUCCAAUUUGAUUUAUUACAUACCAUAAACAUAUGCAAAUUACAAAUAAUCCAAAUCAAAACAAUAGCUAACUUUUGAGUUCGCUGCAUUUCCGUUAAAAACUCUGGUUUUAGUGAACAUCAUUCCUGCGGUUAGGGGCAUCGUCAUUUCCGUUCCAAUGUUGAGCAAUCGGUUGGAAAACUAUGAUGAUAUAUUGCACGAAUUAUUUGGCAAAUUGAAUUCACAUAAUUGAUAAUCAGCACUGCUGUAUUUGAGGAAUUUUCAUUAAGUGCCUACAGAACAAACAUUAUUUCUAGUUUAUCCUACACAACGACAAUCACUAAGACGCAUGAUGAACGUGAAUAGUGCAGGGAUAUAUGAAAUCCCCUCUAUCUGGUAAAUGACAUCAUAAAGGCGCGCAUGAUGAGUUUUGUCCUGUGACGGAUGAACUCGAAAGUGGUCUAUAAACAAGAGUUGACGACAUGGACUUAAUAUGAUAAUGUAUCAGCAUUUUGUGUAUAUUUCAAACUAGAUACCAUCCAAAUAACCAUAAAGAUGGUAUAGGAAGAAUGCUGAUAGAUUUUCUUGGUCUGUUUGACUAUGUCAUGGAUUAAUAAAAGAUUCAUAAGCUAUCUUUUUACCUGUACAAGAAUGAUCUUUUUGGGGGUAGAAUUGGUCAUACAAAUUUUUCUCCUUAUUGACAAGGAGUCCUUUCAAUAGUGUCCUUUAUUUUUAACUUUAAAUAUACUUAGCACAUGAGUAACCCAUUUCAAUCGAAGGGUCAAAUUGAAGGUCACAUAAAUAUACAUGAAUGUUGACUCAAAUGAGGUUGAAAUAUUGGGCUUAUUUGACAAAACUGAAUCUGUCAACACUAAUGCCUCUUUGAUGAGACACUUUUUAUGAAGAAAAGGAAUUAUACAUAGAUUGAUAUAAGCAAACUUGUUUGUAGAAAAAUCUGCAAUGUUUUGAAAAUUACACCAGAAAACUACAUUGAACAGAUGAGAGGGUGUAGCAAGGAAAGUAUUCACUACACAUGAAAGCGAUGUACAUGUCAAAUUAAGUGACAAAGUUUGUAUAACCAAAAAUGGCAGUAAUUUAAAAUUCAUAGAUAAAAAUUAAUUUUCAAUGGAAGAUGAAAUAAAAUCUGGAAGAGAGAAAUAAAAACAGAAUAAUUCUUAUCAAGCCUGCUGACGGCAACACAUUUAUAAGUUGUUUAUUUUUCAAUCAUAAAGUUCGGUGUGUGCCUUAGAUUUUUUAACAAACAAUCAUGGAAUUUUAACCUUUUUUUUUUUAUCAUGAGCACCGUAUGACUAUCCACAGCCAUUUUUUUCAUAUAUUACUGAUAAAUGUUUUUUUUUUUUUUUUGGAUCAGCCUUUUUUUAGCUCACCUGGCCCAAAGGGCCAAGUGAGCUUUUCUCAUCACUUGGCGUCUGUCGUCCGUCGUCGUCGUCGUUGUCGUCGUCCGUCGUUAGCUUUUACAAAAAUCUUCUCCUGAAACUACUGGCCAAUUUUUACCAAUUUGGCCACAAUCAUUAUUAGGGUAUCAGUUUAAAAAUUGGUCGGUGACCCUGCCAACCAACCAAGAAUGGCCGCCAUGGCUAAAAAUAGAACAUAGGGGUAAAAAUGCAGUUUUUGGCUUAUACUCAAAAACCAAAAGCAUUUAGAGCAAAUCUGACAUGGGGUAAAAUUGUUAAUCAGGUCAAGAUCUAUCUACCCUGAAAUUUUGAGAUGAAUCAGACAACCCGUUGAUAGGUUGCUGCCCCUGAAUUGGUAAUUUUAAGGAAAUUUUGCUGUUUUUGGUUAUUAUCUUGAAUAUUAUCAUAGAUAGAGAUAAACUGUAAACAGCAAAAAUGUUCAGUAAAGUAAGAUCUACAAAUAAGUCAACAGGACCAAAAUGGUCUGUUGACCCCUUUAGGAGUUAUUGCCCUUAAUAGUCAAUUUUUAACCAUUUUUCGUAAAUCUUAGUCAUCUUUUACAAAAAUCUUCUCCUCUGAAACUACUGGGCCAAAUUAAACCAAACUUGACCACAAUCAUCAUUGGGGUAUCUUGUUAAAAAAUUGUGUCCCGUGACCUGGCCAACCAACCAAGAUGGCCGCCAUGGCUAAAAUAGAACAUAGGGGUAAAAUGCAGUUUUUGGCUUAUCAACUCAAAAACCAAAGCAUUUAGAGCAGAAUCUGACAAUGGUAAAAUUGUUUAUCAGGUCAAGAUCUAUCUGCCCUGAAAUUUUCAGAUGAAUCGGACAACCCGUUGAUAGGUUGCUGCCCCCUGAAUUGGUAAUUUUAAGGACAAUUUUGCUGUUUUUGGUUAUUAUCUUGAAUAUUAUUAUAGAUAGAGAUAAACUGUAAACAGCAAUAAUGUUCAGCAAAGUAAGAUCUACAAAUAAGUCAACAAAACCAAAAUGGUCUGUAGAUUUCUUUAGGAGUUAUUGCCCUUUAUAGUCAAUUUUUAACCAUUUUUCGUAAAUCUUAGUUAUCUUUUACAAAAAUCCUCUCCUCUGAAACUACUAGGCCAAAUUAAACCAAACUUGGCCACAAUCAUCAUUGGGGUAUAUAGUUUAAAAAUUGUGUCCCGUGACCUGGCCAACCAACCAAGAUGGCCGCCAUGGCUAAAAAUAGAACAUAGGGGUGAAAUGCAGUUUUUGGCUUAUAACUCUGAAACCGCAGCCUUUAGAGCAAAUCUGACAUGGGGUUAAAUUGUUUAUCAGGUCAAGAUCUAUCUGCCUGAAAUUUCAGAUGAAUCUGACAACCUGUGUUGGGUUGCUGCCCCUGAAUUGGUAAUUUUAAGGAAAUUUUGCUGUUUUUGGUUGUUAUCUUGAAUAUUAUUAUAGAUAGAGAUAAACUGUAAACAAUCAAUAAUAUGUUAAGCAAAGUAAGAUUUACAAAUAAGUCAACAUGACGGAAAUGGUCAAUUGACCCCCUAAGGAGUUAUUGUCCUUUGUAGUCAAUUUUUAACAAUUUUCAAUAAAAUUUGUAAUUUUAACUAACAUUUUCCACUGAAACUACUGGGCCAAGUUCAUUAUAGAUAGAGAUAAUUGUAAGUAGCAAGAAUGUUCAGUAAAGUAAGAUGUACAAACACAUCACCAUCACCAAAACACAUUUGUCAUGAAUCCAUCUGCUUCCUUUGUUUAAUAUUCACAUAGACCAAGGUGAGCGACACAGGCUCUUUAGAGCCUCUAGUUUUAUUAGAAAGCUUGGGACUUUAAUAUUUUUCUUGACUUGUGAAGAUGAUGUUUCCUUAUGAAGUCAAUAGCUAUAAAAGUGAUUCAGAUUCCAUAGAACCUUUAGUAUUUGGUACACUGUAUGUACCUUAGUUUCUAUAAAUAUCUUACAACCCUCUCUAGGUCAACAUCUUUAAUAGGACUUUGGAAUUUAUACUCCAACAUAUAUACUUUGACAUAUUAUUUCUUUAUUAACAGUUUUAUUAAAAUAUUUAUUUACAAAGAGGUCCAAUAUGAGUGAAUCAAGGUUCCUUAGCAGGGUUCAUGCUUGCUGGAUUGUUGUUGACUUUAUAGUGAAAAAAUGAAAUUAAACCUGAGAUGGUGAGGAGUGGUAUAUUUUCCAUUUUAAGAUGGAAAUUUCUCUUUUGUAGAUCUAUCGAUUUGGAUCAGCUAGUCUUAAAUUUUAAACAUGAAUACAUAGACACAAAUUCAGUCUUGCAAAUAGUUUCUAGAAGUUAUGAAAUGAGGUUGAUUAGUAAAGACAAAACAUGACUAUUUUGAUGAUUUUGUUUAAAGCAUUUGACACUGUUAUAUUUUGGGCAUUUAUUGAUAUUUUAGACAUUUAUUUUAUAGGUCAGAAGCACUGGAUGAUAUAAGUUGAUGUCACCUUGACUAGAUUAUGCUCCAAUUGAUGGAAUUUGUUUAAGUAUCUGACCCUGAAGUUGAUCUGGACAGAUUGAAGGUAAUUUCAUAUUGAUAAUAAAAAAAUGAUUUGUUUAAUUUGGAAAUAAUAUUAUUUGAAAUAAGAAGAUAUGGUAUGAUUGCAAAUGAGAAAGUUAUUGAUCAGAGACCAAAUGACUUGGAUGUAUUAAAACAACUAUAGAUCACAGUAUGGCAUUGGACAAAGAGCAAAACCCAUACCUGAUAGUAAGCUAUAAAAAGACAUGACAUGACCAGAUAUAUAUGUUAAUGUAUAAAGAAAACCAGCAGCCUGGUAUAUGACUCAAACCAAAAAACUAAAAACAAAUAUGAUGCACCCUAAACAGUUACAACAACUGAAAAUGUAAGUUCUGGGGUAGAGUUAUAUUUUUUGCAAUCACUAGGACAUUUUUCUAAAAUGGAAAUCAAGGUCAAGAUUGUUGAUACCGGGUGUCUUUUUGAUAAUUUUAUUCAUCAGAUUUUUGUAGUUAAAAUCGAUUAAGGAUUUGGAUGUACAGCAGACUGGUGGGUGGGCGGUCAGCUGCCAAACAGUCUCCCCAAUAACAUGAGAACCACCAGUUACUAUGGUUACUGUAUCUAUAUAAAUAGGGUUCAAACAUUAAUCCACCAUUCUCCCUAUGAUGAAGGUAUCUGUUGUACUGAAAUCGGUCAGGCUAGGAAACAUCAGCAGGAGCUGUUUAUUAUGUGUAUUGGCAUAUGCUAUAUUGUUUGACUAAAGAAUAUUACUAAUCAACUUUUUGUACAGCAAAGUUUUUAAAGUAAUUUAUUUGAUAAUUAUCAUUAUGUAUUUAUUUCAGGUUCUGAAUUUGUGUUCAGCUUAAGAAGCCGGUGGAUAAGAAAAAGAUGCUUUUUAACUGCAAUGUUCAAGAAAAGUAAACCAUUGUUUGAAGAGGUA